UACGUAGGUGGCAAGCGUUGUCCGGAUUUAUUGGGUUUAAAGGGUGCGUAGGCGGUCAUAUAAGUCAGCGGUGAAAUCCGGCAGCUCAACUGUCGAUGUGCCAUUGAUACUGUAUGACUUGAGUACUGAUGAGGUAGGCGGAAUUGACGGUGUAGCGGUGAAAUGCUUAGAUAUCGUCAGUAACACCGAUAGCGAAGGCAUCUUACUGAGCAGUAACUGACGCUGAGGCCCGAAAGUGUGGGGAUCAAACAGG
Molecule: ribosomal RNA, 253 nt
Filed under: uncultured bacterium
Lineage: Bacteria
Description: partial 16S ribosomal RNA
Rfam family: Bacterial small subunit ribosomal RNA
Source: RNAcentral